RNAcentral lists this unclassified non-coding RNA (209 nucleotides) under uncultured fungus. RNAcentral's name for it is "partial contains 18S rRNA, ITS1, 5.8S rRNA, ITS2 and 28S rRNA". The record is from RNAcentral. Lineage: Eukaryota; Fungi.
AAGGAUCAUUAGUGAAUUUAGGGUGACUAUUCGUAGUACCCGACCUCCACUUCUAACACUGUGCACUUAUUGGCAAGGAAAGAUAUUUUGAAAAGGCGAGAGCCUUGGAAAAAUUCUGACCUUGCGGCUUUAUUUUAUAACUCCAAGUUAAAGAAUGUAAACCAAUCAAAAACAAAAAAAAACUUUCAACAACGGAUCUCUUGGCUCUC